GACAAACAGAUCAAGUUAAGCUGUAAUUGGUGUAAAAGGAAGUAAGAGAGAUAUUUUAAGGAAAAAAGAUUUUUCUUGUAGAGGUGGAAUUUGUGCAGGAAAGAGCGGAUUAUUAUUUUUCUUUAUUCUUGAGACUUCGAAAUUAAGAAUGGAGACCGGGAUUAGAUACCCCGUUAUUUUUAUAGUAAACUUUGGUUAUUCCUACCUGAGUAUUACGGGCAAAAAUAUGAUAGUAAAUAGAUUGUUUUAUUAAGUAUUUGUUUAGCUUAAAACUCAAAAAACUUGGCGGUGCCUUAUUUCUUUCCAGGGGAACCUGUCCUAUAAUCGAUAAUCCACGUUUAAGCUUACUUUUCUUUGUAACUAGUUUUGUCAGUUUGUAUACCGUCGUCGUCAGAUUACCUUUAAGAGACUAGAAGUUGUCGGAAAAAUUUUGUUGAAUAAAAAGAAUUAGAAAUUAUAAAGAUUUUGGUUAUUAGUUCUGUUUGUUUAAUCAAUUUUGAUGUCAGAUCAAGGUGCAGCUAAUAGAAAAGAAGAGAUGGGUUACAUUAUAUAAUUAAUUUGAAUUUUAAGUUGUAAAUCUUAAAUGAAAGUGGACUUGGAAGUAAUAAAUAGGUUUUAAUGAUAAAUUAGUAAGUUGAUGUGAAAAAUUUGUACUAAGGCGCGU
RNAcentral lists this ribosomal RNA (664 nucleotides) under Stomatia phymotis. RNAcentral describes it as "partial 12S ribosomal RNA". Lineage: Eukaryota; Metazoa; Mollusca; Gastropoda; Trochida; Trochidae. The record is from RNAcentral.